GGGAGAAAAGCUGCGACCUACCUCUGGAGACAAUGCGGACCCUGCGCUCCACCAGCUCGCGGGGCUCCAGCCCCAGGUCCUUGGAGAUGUUGCCCACAACAGUGCCUUUGUCUGUCUCUUCUGGCACGGAGUAGCGAAUCUGUCCUACCCCGAUCUUGCACAGCGUCCCCAUCAGCGUACACAGCAGCACCAGCUGGCCACGCCUGUGUUGAUUCUUGGAAGCAGCCAUUGUUCAUUUGAAAAAGAAUCCUUUCAGUCUUCACUGGGCAUAGGUGGCUGGAUUACCUUUGCUUGUGGCGAUGGAAAUAAUCUUACGGAAAGCUGGAGAGUCACACAUUUAGGGAAAGAAUGCCUCCGCAGUUCCGCAGUAGGACUCGGGAAUCUGCCGGUCUGAUUUCAUCCGCGCUGAGAAUUCGAUGGCUUUUCGGGUGCACCUCUCUCCCAGGAAAAGAUUCAUUUUGUCUUCUAUCAAGAUGUUAAAGCUCACGAGACAUCGCGGGCUCUGAGCGCACAACUCCUCCCGGUUUACCCUGCCCGCGGUGACCAGGCUGCCGCUCCGCGGGUUCAGAGAGAAAAGCUGGGUCUUACCUUUGGUGAUGAUGCGGACCCUGCGUUCCGUCAGCUCCUGAGGCUGCAGUCCUAGAUCCUUGGUGAUAUUUCCCACAAAAGAUCCCUUAGCUAUCUCUUCAGACACGGAGUAGAGAAUCUGUCCUGCCCAGGCUUCCCACCGGGUCCCUAUGAGAAUGGAGAGCAGCACAAAUCCUCUGUAGUGCGAUCCCCAGCCCCCCUGUCCAGGCGCCAUUGUAGUCCUGCGGAUCUCGCUCACACCCUGAGAGGUCUCGGAAGGUGCCUGAGAACACAGCUGUGUCCGCCAGGACCCCAGUGUGCGGAAGGGAAUCCGGGAAUCCAGCUAUUCGGUUUGAGUUUGAUGUUGCUUGGUGGAGGGCUUGCUUGUCUCAGUCUGUCCUCUCUUUGUGUUGUAAACUCGGUGGUUCUGUUUGAGCUCUGUCACCACCAUCUCAUGGUUGGUGAACAGCGGCGCGCAGAGUCCUUACUCAGUUACUGCACCAUCUUGAAGCAAAAUAAUCUGAUUUUUACAGAAAGAUGUUUAAUUCUUCAAAUUUCUGUUUGCUUAAAUUUCUUCAUCCCAGACAACACGGAUAUACUUUAAAGAUAUAUUUUAAGGUAUUGACUAGCGGAUAAAUCCAAAUACAUUUUAAAAAUAUCUUUCAGGAAGCAACGCUGAGGUUACAUUCUUAAGCACAAAUUCACAUUUUAAUUAGAGAAAAUUAAGCCUUGUCAGGCAAACAUGUAAACGUUAUUUAAAUUUCUAUUGUAAAACUCUACUGCAAAUAUAUCCCUAUGUAUUAUUUUGCAUUCUCUGUAACAUUUUCUGUUGAAUCAUUUAUUUGGAGUUCUGUUUAGUUUAUUUCUCAUUAAAAAUGUAGGUAUUUACACUGAC
This 1462-nucleotide long non-coding RNA is filed under the name Mus pahari (shrew mouse). RNAcentral describes it as "predicted gene, 37165 (MGP_PahariEiJ_G0002691.1)". The record is from RNAcentral. Lineage: Eukaryota; Metazoa; Chordata; Mammalia; Rodentia; Muridae.